UWGAGYUUGAUCMUGGCUCAGAUUGAACGCUGGCGGCAGGCCUAACACAUGCAAGUCGAGCGGUAACAGGAAGGAAGCUUGCUUUCUUUGCUGACGAGCGGCGGACGGGUGAGUAAUGCCUGGGAAAUUGCCCUGAUGUGGGGGAUAACCAUUGGAAACGAUGGCUAAUACCGCAUGAUGCCUACGGGCCAAAGAGGGGGACCUUCGGGCCUCUCGCGUCAGGAUAUGCCCAGGUGGGAUUAGCUAGUUGGUGAGGUAAUGGCUCACCAAGGCGACGAUCCCUAGCUGGUCUGAGAGGAUGAUCAGCCACACUGGAACUGAGACACGGUCCAGACUCCUACGGGAGGCAGCAGUGGGGAAUAUUGCACAAUGGGCGCAAGCCUGAUGCAGCCAUGCCGCGUGUAUGAAGAAGGCCUUCGGGUUGUAAAGUACUUUCAGUGGUGAGGAAGGGAGUGUGGUUAAUAGCCAUAUUC
Molecule: ribosomal RNA, 473 nt
Filed under: Vibrio sp. M16-C3
Lineage: Bacteria; Pseudomonadati; Pseudomonadota; Gammaproteobacteria; Vibrionales; Vibrionaceae
Description: bacterial SSU rRNA
Rfam family: Bacterial small subunit ribosomal RNA
Source: RNAcentral